RNAcentral lists this long non-coding RNA (1166 nucleotides) under Coturnix japonica (Japanese quail). RNAcentral's name for it is "lncRNA (ENSCJPG00005007446.1)". The record is from RNAcentral. Lineage: Eukaryota; Metazoa; Chordata; Aves; Galliformes; Phasianidae.
UACAUUUUCAAUGAUAGUGGUGUUAGCUGUAGAAGCUCAGACAACUUUAAAAUGAUCAAAGUUGGAGAGAACCAUAAGUAGCUACAUCAGGCCAUUACCAUGCAGCUCUCUAAAGGUUAUAAGUUAAGUAGAACACAUCCAGAAAAAUAGAAAAAUAUGGAUUACAGACUCACUCUUGUAGAGAACACUCUCAGCUUCUAUAAAUUUCAUUAAGGGCUUGAUUGUGAUAUUCUUUCACAUGUCAAGUGAUAUCUUCAGUACUUCAUUCCAACAGUGUAACUCAAAGAAUCGGGUAUUAUUCAACUUGAGAAAGGUAUCACAAUCUAACCUUAAAUGCUGAGUGCUCUUAAUGCACAAUAGUACCAGGCUCACUGAGGAGAAAAUUAAUGUUAGACUUUUGAGGUGAAUAAUAUUCAUUGUUUUGCAUAAACGAUAUUUUCUACCAAAAAUCAUCCAGGAAAUUGCUUAACUUGUAUGCUAAAUCCUCUCGGGGAAGAGGAAGAUAGCUCCAGUUUCACUGCCUAAGUGUCUGUUCCAUUUAAAGGAUAUUAGUAGCCAAAUGAAAAAUGCAUGAAUCAAUCAGCAACAAGGACCUUGAUCUCCAAAUGAGACAAUGCUGAGCUUUGAGAUUUAUGGUCUUGCUUCCAGAAUUCCAUUAUUUGGAGGAACAACAACAAUAACAAUGGGAGAUGACAUCAGAAUAUUUAUGGAAGGGGACAGAGAGGAAAUCUGGAUCCGAAGCCACAAGAGAACAGGUGACAGAAGCUCUGCAACACCUUCCCUACAUUCAUGAAACAAGGGUGACUGCAUAGAUCACCUGGCAAUACAAUACCAUCAGCCUGCACUUGCACUCUGUGGGAAUAAGGAAUUUGGUACAUGCACUCUACUCAUGUUUUAUGCUUGAUAUUUCAAAAUGGUGCUCCACUAGUGUUUCUUGAUUGGGUACAUUAAUUCUUACAAACUUCUCUUCACCAACGGUGCAGAGUCUCAGUUGAUAUAAAUUGGAGUAAAACUAUUGAAGUCUGUGCAACAACAUGGAUUUAUCUGUGACAUACACUGAGCCAGCAGUCAGCAUCAGUGCUAGAGCAGUGAUCCCACCAGCUUAAAGAAACCAAAAGGCAAAGCUGCUUUUACUGAAUGUAGAAGGGAUGACUACGAUCCCACCU